AGCAACGCACAUCAGCAUGAACAAACGAACACCCUUUGAUUCCUUCAACCUCAAUUCUUACUUUGAAAAACUGAAAACUAAGAACAAACAACACGAAAUCAAACAGAAGCUAUGAAAAAUCUCAAAUCUAGAAUAAUCAUUAUCCUCGAAAUCUUAUAAACUGAAUUCAUCGUCAUCGAAUCGAGUUGCAAACCGAAGACGAGUUGUAACCAAAUCGUGUUUUGCACGCAAAAUCGAAGAGAAUCAUAGAUGAAUGGUGGAUUUUGUUAAUGCACGUUGAUUGAAGCAAGAAAUGGAAGAUUUACCAGAUUGAAGCUCCGAUGCGGUGGCUCUCCGGCGAAUCGCAGGUCUUAAGCAAGUCAUGACGUGGACUUAUAGUUGGCAAGGCAAGACGCAAGAAUUGCCUAAAUUCAAAGCAUAAUGACCAAAGUUGCAAAAAUGGAAUUUUCUUCGUUGUGAAGUAACAUGGGAGCUUAUGGAAUCAAGCAUGGAUGGAGAUGUACUCAACAUUAGGUUUAGGAUGGAGAAAUGCAAAGGUUGACUUUGAUCAACUAUUUGACUAAAAAGUCUUAAGCAAGUCAUGACGUGGACUUAUAGUUGGCAAGACAAGGCAAGAUGCAAGAAUUGCCUAAAUUCAAAGCAUAAUGACCAAAGUUGCAAAAAUGGAAUUUUCUUCGUUGUGAAGUAACAUGGGAGCUUAUGGAAUCAAGCAUGGAUGGAGAUGUACUCAACAUUAGGUUUAGGAUGGAGAAAUGCAAAGGUUGACUUUGGUCAACUAUUUGACUAAAAAG
Long non-coding RNA from Lathyrus oleraceus (garden pea), 791 nucleotides. RefSeq lists it as uncharacterized. The transcript has 3 exons. Lineage: Eukaryota; Viridiplantae; Streptophyta; Magnoliopsida; Fabales; Fabaceae. The record is from RefSeq and is a predicted model, not a curated record.